Molecule: non-coding RNA, 71 nt
Organism: Phrynosoma platyrhinos (Desert horned lizard)
Lineage: Eukaryota; Metazoa; Chordata; Lepidosauria; Squamata; Phrynosomatidae
Source: the annotation of a GenBank genome assembly
GCCAAUGUGGUGUAGUGGUUUAGUGUUGGACUAUGACUCUGGAGGCCAGGGUUCAAAUCCCAGCUCAACCA